UUGUCGUAGCGGGUGGCGAUGCCGCGCCAUUGCUUGAGGCGGUGGAAGCAGCGUUCGACGACGUUGCGGCGCC
This 73-nucleotide transfer RNA is filed under the name Streptomyces lavendofoliae. Its description in RNAcentral is "tRNA-Ser". The record is from RNAcentral. Lineage: Bacteria; Bacillati; Actinomycetota; Actinomycetes; Kitasatosporales; Streptomycetaceae. RNAcentral also lists the same sequence under 1 other name.